Molecule: ribosomal RNA, 370 nt
Filed under: uncultured organism
Description: bacterial SSU rRNA
Rfam family: Bacterial small subunit ribosomal RNA
Source: RNAcentral
CGAAGGGGGCUAGCGUUGCUCGGAAUUACUGGGCGUAAAGGGCGCGUAGGCGGACAGUUUAGUCAGAGGUGAAAGCCCAGGGCUCAACCUUGGAAUUGCCUUUGAUACUGGCUGUCUUGAGUUCGGGAGAGGUGAGUGGAAUGCCGAGUGUAGAGGUGAAAUUCGUAGAUAUUCGGCGGAACACCAGUGGCGAAGGCGACUCACUGGCCCGAUACUGACGCUGAGGCGCGAAAGCGUGGGGAGCAAACAGGAUUAGAUACCCUGGUAGUCCACGCUGUAAACGAUGAGUGCUAGUUGUCGGCAUGCAUGCAUGUCGGUGACGCAGCUAACGCAUUAAGCACUCCGCCUGGGGAGUACGGUCGCGAGAUUA